This is a long non-coding RNA of Mus musculus (house mouse), 1230 nucleotides long. RefSeq annotates it as predicted gene, 19378. Lineage: Eukaryota; Metazoa; Chordata; Mammalia; Rodentia; Muridae. The record is from RefSeq and is marked validated. The transcript is spliced from 2 exons.
UCUGAGAACAGUGUACCGGCUGUGCUUGUUCAGUGGAUCAAGGAGGUGGGAGGGAAGGAACUGCAAAAAGAUUCCAUUUGUGUGCUAGACAUUUCUAGCUUACCCAUCCCCCUGUGUGUUGUGUGCAUCUCAUGUAACUUUGCUAUGCUGUAUAUAUUGUACAUACUGGACAAACGAGUCCUAUGAUAUCUAGUCUCUAGGUAUUAAAGAGGUUGCCAAUGUAUGACAAAAGUAGUUAGUAAACUCACACAUUCUGUAUACUCUGUUAGUUCAUAGCAAGGUUGUCUUCUGAAGAGUUGUGAAAGUGUAUCAUCCAAGUGACGGGUGCCUAUGUCACGGGACACAAGAUGGGCUGAAGGGGAAGAAAGGUCGGAGACCAGAAUGUCCUCACCAGAAGACACUUGGAGAUCUAACUAGUUACAUGUGCGUGGUUUCAGUACUACUAUGUAUAUAGGGGACAAAUUCAUGUCCUCAUCUGAAACAUCUAGUCCUUCUAGGUGUUUAGAAGUGCACAAAGUAUGUUAAAAGUAGACAUAGUAAAUAAUACGUGUUGUAGAUUCUGUUUAAACUCAUGGUGAAGUGUUGUCUUUUGGAACUAGAAAGAGAAACUGCUUCUGAGCAAUGCAGCCUUGCUUGUGCAGGUCUAGGAGGGAGGAAGAAAGAAAAUGAAUGAAGAGCCUAAUGCUGAUGCAAGUUUGGUAAUACAAGGUUAUCCAUUGUUGCUUAUAUCUGUGCAUCUUACUUUGCAAUGUAUAGAAAACAUAGGUCCAAAUUUGCAGCACCCAGUCUUCCUAGACUGUAAAGGUGCCAGUGUGUGACAAAGUAGAGUUAGUGAAAAGACAUAUUUAUAGAUUAUGUUAAAAUUUGUAGGAAAAAACCUUAAAACCACUUAGGAAGUGUUAAUAUUCCACAAAAACAUGACAGAUGUAUACACAUGUCCCCUGGGGGGGAGAGAACUGGAAGAGGGGCUGGACCAGAACCUUGCUGUUUAGAAGGCAGUCUGAGAUGGCAUGGUGUAUUCUUGGUUAUCAAAAUCCCUGUGUAGUGUGGGGUUUUUAAUUGGUGAAUAUUCACAAUGUGGGGAAAGCAUGGUACAUACUGUAUAAUCUCAAUUACCCAAGUGUGCGUACGCUUGCAGGAUCUAGAACAACACAUCGAGCUGAGCUGCUUGUGACUGGGUGACUUUGUUCUUGCUUUCUUGUUUCCUGUAAUGCAUAUACUAAAAAAAAA